This 358-nucleotide ribosomal RNA is filed under the name uncultured maize rhizosphere bacterium c18_23. RNAcentral describes it as "bacterial SSU rRNA". It matches the Rfam family "Bacterial small subunit ribosomal RNA", at positions 114 to 507 of the family's 1533-position model. The record is from RNAcentral.
CGCGUGGGAAUCUACCUAGUUCUACGGAACAACACAGGGAAACUUGUGCUAAUACCGUAUACGCCCUACGAGGGAAAGAUUUAUCGGAAUUAGAUGAGCCCGCGUAAGAUUAGCUAGUUGGUGGGGUAAUGGCCUACCAAGGCGACGAUCUUUAGCUGGUCUGAGAGGAUGAUCAGCCACACUGGGACUGAGACACGGCCCAGACUCCUACGGGAGGCAGCAGUGGGGAAUAUUGGACAAUGGGCGCAAGCCUGAUCCAGCCAUGCCGCGUGAGUGAUGAAGGCCUUAGGGUUGUAAAGCUCUUUCAGUGGGGACGAUAAUGACGGUACCCACAGAAGAAGCCCCGGCUAACUUCGUG